Molecule: ribosomal RNA, 427 nt
Filed under: uncultured bacterium
Lineage: Bacteria
Description: bacterial SSU rRNA
Rfam family: Bacterial small subunit ribosomal RNA
Source: RNAcentral
UGGGGAAUUUUGGACAAUGGGCGCAAGCCUGAUCCAGCAAUGCCGCGUGCAGGAUGAAGGCCUUCGGGUUGUAAACUGCUUUUGUACGGAGCGAAAAGGUCUGCCCUAAUACGGUGGGCUCAUGACGGUACCGUAAGAAUAAGCACCGGCUAACUACGUGCCAGCAGCCGCGGUAAUACGUAGGGUGCGAGCGUUAAUCGGAAUUACUGGGCGUAAAGCGUGCGCAGGCGGUUAUAUAAGACAGAGGUGAAAUCCCCGGGCUCAACCUGGGAACUGCCUUUGUGACUGCAUAGCUAGAGUACGGUAGGGGGGGAUGGAAUUCCGCGUGUAGCAGUGAAAUGCGUAGAUAUGCGGAGGAACACCGAUGGCGAAGGCAAUCCCCUGGACCUGUACUGACGCUCAUGCACGAAAGCGUGGGGAGCAAACA